GAUGAACGCUGGCGGCAUGCCUAAUACAUGCAAGUCGGACGGAGGGAAGAUAGCUUGCUAUCGGACCUCAGUGGCGAAACGGGUGAGUAACACGUAGACAACCUGCCCCCUGGCCCGGGACAACCUCUGGAAACGGAGGCUGAUACCGGACGGGCAGGAGAGGGGCAUCCCUCUCCUGUGAAAGGCCCUGCAAGGGGCCGCGAGGGGAUGGGUCUGCGGUGCAUUAGCUAGUUGGCGGGGCAGCGGCCCACCAAGGCGACGAUGCAUAGCCGGCCUGAGAGGGCGGACGGCCACAUUGGGACUGAGACACGGCCCAG
This 317-nucleotide ribosomal RNA is filed under the name uncultured bacterium. RNAcentral's name for it is "bacterial SSU rRNA". It matches the Rfam family "Bacterial small subunit ribosomal RNA", at positions 28 to 334 of the family's 1533-position model. The record is from RNAcentral.